Molecule: long non-coding RNA, 659 nt
Filed under: Struthio camelus australis
Lineage: Eukaryota; Metazoa; Chordata; Aves; Struthioniformes; Struthionidae
Description: lncRNA (ENSSCUG00000016004.1)
Source: RNAcentral
GAUGGUUGAUUCGGCGAGACCUAAUGAGGAAUUAGGACACAGCCGUGUAACUUUCAUUGUAGGAUAAAGGACUGUCUUAGAAAAUCUUGAUCUCUCUGCGCCAUUUCAAAUGAGAAUUUCUGGCCUGGAUUCCUGGAAGAGGGUUGUCCAGUUCAGUUGCUGGAAAGAAUUGCCAUUGUUUGCAACUCACUUUUGCUCUGAAAAGCAACGACCUAUUGUCAGCUCCGAUAAGUAGAGACUCCUGAGAGACCUGCAGCUUUAACAGCAGGAGCACACUACAGCUUCUCUGGUUGCAAAACCACUUUAAUCUGGAGGUAACAAACAGGAGAGAUUAAUGGCUUUAAUUUGGACGCAUUCAGCCAAGUGCCACAUUCAUUCUUUAGCAAAGAUAGAAAGGACAUGAUUACUUGGAAAUUAAGAAAGAAAAUAUUGACUUGGUUCAUGAUCUUAAAAUGCAUUCUUAUUUACCUUAAGAUAUUUUUCAUAUCACCACGGAGAUAAGGAAUAUUCUAGUACACUGUAGUCCCAAAUCAGCAAAACUGCUUAAGUAUAUGUUUAAGUAUUUGAUGAAAUUUGAUGAACUUCAAUAGCAAAAGAUGUAUGCGCAUAAUUAAAGUUAUAGAUAAACUGGCAACUUAAGCAGGUGUUUAAACAUUGGA